RNAcentral lists this RNase P RNA (377 nucleotides) under Chloroflexota bacterium. Its description in RNAcentral is "Chloroflexi bacterium RNase P RNA component class A". It matches the Rfam family "Bacterial RNase P class A". From Rfam's summary of the family: Ribonuclease P (RNase P) is a ubiquitous endoribonuclease, found in archaea, bacteria and eukarya as well as chloroplasts and mitochondria. Lineage: Bacteria; Bacillati; Chloroflexota. The record is from RNAcentral.
UCAGGGGGCCGGACGGCCGCCGGCGGGUGCGCCCUCGGGUGGCUCGCGGGAGGAAAGUCCGAACUCCACCGGACAGGGUGCCGGCUAACGGCCGGGCGGCGCGAGCCGACGGAAAGUGCCACAGAAACAUACCGCCACCGCGCUCCUCGGGGCGCGGGGGUAAGGGUGAAAUGGUGCGGUAAGAGCGCACCGGCGUCCCGGAGACGGGGCGGCCGGGCAAACCCCACCCGGAGCAAGGCCAAAUAGGGGAGCGUUCGGGGCGUCCGGCUCCGCUCCCGGGUAGGCCGCUGGAGACGGCGGGCAACCGUCGUCCUAGAUGGAUGGCCGUCGCCGCCCCUGGGGCGGUACAGAAUUCGGCUUACAGGCCCCCUGACCCC